RNAcentral lists this ribosomal RNA (666 nucleotides) under Triticum aestivum (bread wheat). RNAcentral's name for it is "partial small subunit ribosomal RNA". Lineage: Eukaryota; Viridiplantae; Streptophyta; Magnoliopsida; Poales; Poaceae. The record is from RNAcentral.
AUGUCAAGACAUACGCUGUCACAACAAGGAACACACUUGCUCACACGUGUCUCCGAGCUGAUUGAGCCAAACACACAUACAUGGGAUGAGGGGCUUGUACGGCAGACUUUCCUUCCGAUGGAGGCAAGUAUUAUUCUUUCAAUACCAGUGUUUGAACAACAUGACAAUUUCAUUGCAUGGCAUUUUGACGCAAAGGGGCUCUUCUCUGUAAAGUCUGCUUAUCGGGUGCACACAGAUAUGAUGAUGAGACAAUCAAACAUCAGCCAAGGAGAUAGCGUCGCCGGGUUGGGGUGGAGAAAGGCGGUGUGGGCUGCUAUUUGGAAAGUGCACUGCCCAGGGAAAGUACAUCAUUUCACGUGGAGAUUCGGACAUAAUAGUCACCCGCUAAAUAUGAAUAUUGCUAGGCGGGGUGUGGAGUUGGAUACACGUUGUGUGGUGUGCAAUAAAUAUUUUGAAGAUGGUGGACAUUUCUUUUUCCGUUGCAAGGCGGUCAGAGCUAUGUGGCGAGCGGCCGAUCUGGAAAACGAGAGACUAAAUAUUAUGCAGGCUCCCACGGCGUUGGAGGUGCUGGAGAGGAUUAUGGCAUUACCUGAGCAAAAGAAACUAAAGGUGAUUUGUCUCCUGUGGCGUUGGUGGUCUGAACGCAAUAGAAGAAGACAUGGGGAG